This 2347-nucleotide long non-coding RNA is filed under the name Homo sapiens (human). RNAcentral describes it as "non-protein coding lnc-EDAR-5:2". The record is from RNAcentral. Lineage: Eukaryota; Metazoa; Chordata; Mammalia; Primates; Hominidae.
GUAUUUUUGAAAAUCAUUGACAGUAAAUUUUAAGGGUUCUCACCACACACACACAAAAUAAUAAAUAUAUGCACAUAUGGUAAUGCACAUAUUAAAAAACUCAAUUUAGCAAUUCCACAGUGUAUGCAUUUUUAAAACAUAAUGUUGCACAGAAUAAAUAUGUACCUUUUGUCAAUUAAAAAUAAAUUAAUUUUAAAAAUAAAAUAAAAACAAAAGUUACAAGUAAAAAAGAUUCUCUCAUUGUGAAUGAUGUUAGGCAGUUCAAUUAUAUUGUGUCAUCAUGUGGUUCUCUUUGGAUUUAUACUUGCUGAAUAUUCUAUUCCUAGUUACUUCAGUGUUUCUAUCAUGAAGAGAUAUUGAAUUUCUCACAUGUAUCUUUUGAAUUAGUUAAUAUGAUUAUGUAGUUGUUCUCAUCCAUUAUUCUAUUGAUGUGGAAUAUUACACUGAUUGAUUAUUUUCAUUUCUUGAACCUCUGUCGAAUCCUGGAAUAAAUCUCAGUUGGUCAUGGUAUAUAAUUCUUUUUACGAUUCUGCUAGAUUAUUUUCUAGUAUUUGUAGAGGAUUUUUCCACCUAUAUUCAUAAGGGAUGUUAGUGUGUAGUUUUAUAUUCUCAUGAUGUCUUUGUGUCUUCAUUUCUGGAAUGCAGUGAUUGAAGAAAUAUUUCUGUUGCUAGGAGAAAGGACCUUGAAACCUUGAAGUAUUCUGUGGUAUCCUGUGUGUACACAGUUCUUCUUCAAAGAGAACUUAGAGACAUUUACUUGGGUGACUUGACAUUAAAGGGAAGAGAUUGCCUAGAGCAGGGGGCAGCACACUGUGGACUGAGAACCAAAUCAAGCCAGGCAUCUGUUUUUGCAAAUAAAGUUUUAUUAGAAAACAGCAAUGUCCAUUCAUUUACACAUUGUCUAUGGCUGAUUUCAUGCUACAAUUGCAGAGUCCAUAAUUGCAACUAAGAUGUUAUGAUUUGCAAAACCUAAAGUACUCACCAAUUAACAUUUUAUAAAAUAUGUUUGCUGACCCUUGACAUUUGAGGACAGUUGGACAUGGGUCUAAGGUGACAUUGAUACCCAAAGAGCCAAAGCAUCAUCAUGGCCCCCUGAUAAAGUGGGAGCUUAUAGGGUUAUGUAAUAAUUAGUGUCCUGGGUGAAUUCAGUUAAAUUCUGCAGACCAACCCAGCAGUUCUCUUCCCAGUCCCUGAAUGGAUAAUUCGAUUAAUAUACUUGACCAUUGGGGUAGCUCCUGCAUUGGGCCCUUUGCCUGUCAAGUAAGAAGGACAUGUGAAACCACCUGAAACUGCCACCCAAGUCACCUACAUAGCAAAUCAAUAACAAUAUCGCAUGCUCAUAGGGGGCUGGAGUUGUGUUGAAGAGAUGAGUGUCAUUUUAAAAGUCCUUAAGCUUGUGGUGGGAUACGGAGUGGUGGGGGUUUUUAUCAUUUUCUUUUAACUCCUCAGUGCAGCCUCUUUAGUAGCAAGCUGUAUCCUGAAGGAGAACUGGAGAUUACCUCAACCAACCAAGUUGCCACUCUGAUGGCAGCUUCAGCUCCAGACACAGAGUUGUUUUUAGAAUUGAUUCCAACAGCCAAUUGGGCACAUGGUGCACAACCCUGAAUUGUUGGAUAUACUCUUCUCUUCUGAUCAGAACAGAAGUCUUAUUGGAAUUCAUGUGGAAAGGACAAUAGUUACUACUAGUCUUGCCCUAGAAUUAUGUUUACUCUACUUGGCCCUGUUAUAUAAGGGAACAAAGCCAUCUGGUGCAUCUGCAGAACACUAUGCUGAUCUACUUUGUCGAGACGUCAUGCUGAUUGGGUUGGAUAAGCAAGAAGCCAUGGAGGUCUUGGGAAGAUACAUGCACUCCAGAGGGUGGAUGCAGGAGCUAAACUCUGAGAAGAUUCAGGGACUUGUCACUUCAAUAAAGUUUUGAGGUGUUUAGAAGUCAGAGGAUUUGUAGAAUGUUUCUUACAGAGUUCAAGCAAAUUGUUGUUGCAUCUUGCAUCUCCUGCCACAAAGAAGGAAGUUGAUCACCUGGAUAGGUCCUUUGGGAUCUGGAGAUGACACCUUCUACAUCAGAUGACUUAGACCAUGGGCAGCUAGGAACAGGUCCUUGGGACAGGAAAGGGCUCUGCAGUAGGUUCACUCUGUAGUGGAUGCUUCCCUGCCACGUGGUCUGUGAAACCUACACUCCCCAUGGGGGUGUCAGUAGUAAGUGCACAUGCAAUGGGAGAAUCACAACACAGGCUCUUGGAAGAGAUGCAGUCCAUGCCAUCUGCAGCUGAAAAAUCCGCCCCCCCUUGGGACAUACUACCUGGCAUAGUACUGGACCCAGACUGGGCUGGCCUGUGGCUUGCUUUAU